This 467-nucleotide ribosomal RNA is filed under the name uncultured bacterium. Its description in RNAcentral is "partial 16S ribosomal RNA". It matches the Rfam family "Bacterial small subunit ribosomal RNA", at positions 28 to 507 of the family's 1533-position model. The record is from RNAcentral.
GACGAACGCUGGCGGCGUGCUUAACACAUGCAAGUCGAACGGAAAGGCCCUGCUUUUGUGGGGUGCUCGAGUGGCGAACGGGUGAGUAACACGUGAGUAACCUGCCCUUGACUUUGGGAUAACUUCAGGAAACUGGGGCUAAUACCGGAUAGGAGCUCCUGCUGCAUGGUGGGGGUUGGAAAGUUUCGGCGGUUGGGGAUGGGCUCGCGGCUUAUCAGCUUGUUGGUGGGGUAGGGGCUCACCAAGGCUUUGACGGGUAGCCGGCCUGAGAGGGUGACCGCCCACAUGGGGACGGAGAUACGGCCCAAACCCCGACGGGGGGCAGGAGUGGGGAAUAUGAGAAAAGGGGCGAAAGCUGGAUCGAGCAACGCCGCGUGGGGGAAGACGCCUUUCGGGGUGUAAACCGUUUUUGCUGGGGAAAAAGGGGAGGGACCGGAAAUGGUUAAAAAGGCCCCGCUAAACUCGGG